Molecule: ribosomal RNA, 406 nt
Filed under: uncultured bacterium
Lineage: Bacteria
Description: partial 16S ribosomal RNA
Rfam family: Bacterial small subunit ribosomal RNA
Source: RNAcentral
AUUGAACGCUGGCGGCAGGCCUAACACAUGCAAGUCGAACGAGUGGCGGACGGGUGAGUAAUGUCUGGGAAACUGCCUGAUGGAGGGGGAUAACUCCUGGAAACGGUAGCUAAUACCGCAUACCCUAAGAUUUCCCCAGAUGGGAUUAGCUUGUAGGUGGGAUAACGGCUCACCAAGGCGACGAUCCCUAGCUGGUCUGAGAGGAUGACCAGCCACACUGGAACUGAGACACGGUCCAGACUCCUACGGGAGGCAGCAGUGGGGAAUAUUGCACAAUGGGCGCAAGCCUGAUGCAGCCAUGCCGCGUGUAUGAAGAAGGCCUUCGGGUUGUAAAGUACUUUCAGCGGGGAGGCGUUACCCGCAGAAGAAGCACCGGCUAACUCCGUGCCAGCAGCCGCGGUAAUUC